AUUGAACGGAGAGUUUGAUCCUGGCUCAGGACGAACGCUGGCGGCGCGCUUAACACAUGCAAGUCGUGCGAUACCUCGAGCGAGUCUUACGACAAGCUCAAGGUAGAGCGGCGGACGGGUGAGUAACACGUGAGUAGCUGUCCUAAGGAGGGGGAUAACGCCUGGAAACGGGUGCUAAAACCCCAUAUGCCUCGCAAGAGGUGAAAAUGUAGCUUGCUACAGC
This 223-nucleotide ribosomal RNA is filed under the name Acetomicrobium thermoterrenum DSM 13490. RNAcentral describes it as "16S rRNA. Bacterial SSU". It matches the Rfam family "Bacterial small subunit ribosomal RNA", at positions 1 to 218 of the family's 1533-position model. Lineage: Bacteria; Thermotogati; Synergistota; Synergistia; Synergistales; Acetomicrobiaceae. The record is from RNAcentral.